RNAcentral lists this ribosomal RNA (433 nucleotides) under uncultured bacterium. RNAcentral's name for it is "partial 16S ribosomal RNA". It matches the Rfam family "Bacterial small subunit ribosomal RNA", at positions 29 to 507 of the family's 1533-position model. The record is from RNAcentral.
AGCGAACGCUGGCGGCAGGCCUAACACAUGCAAGUCGAACGAACUCUUCGGAGUUAGUGGCGGACGGGUGUGUAACACGUGGGAACGUGCCUUUUGGUUCGGAAUAACUCAGGGAAACUUGUGCUAAUACCGAAUGUGCCCUUCGGGGGAAAGAUUUAUCGCGAUUGGAGCGGCCCGCGUCUGAUUAGCUAGUUGGGGAGGUAACGGCUCACCAAGGCGACGAUCAGUAGCUGGUUUGAGAGGAUGGCCAGCCACACUGGGACUGAGACGCGGCCCAGACUCCUACGGGAGGGAGGAGAGGGUAAUCUUGCGCAAUGGGGGAAAGGAUGACGCAGCCAUGCCGGGAGAAUGAUGAAGGUCGGAGGAAUGUAAAAUUCUUUCACCGGGGACGAUAAUGACGGUACCCGAAGAAGAAGCCCCGGCUAACUUCGUG